RNAcentral lists this ribosomal RNA (448 nucleotides) under uncultured bacterium. RNAcentral's name for it is "bacterial SSU rRNA". It matches the Rfam family "Bacterial small subunit ribosomal RNA", at positions 8 to 460 of the family's 1533-position model. The record is from RNAcentral.
AGAGUUUGAUCCUGGCUCAGAUUGAACGCUGGCGGCAUGCCUUACACAUGCAAGUCGAACGGCAGCGCGGGGCAACCUGGCGGCGAGUGGCGAACGGGUGAGUAAUAUAUCGGAACGUGCCCUGGAGUGGGGGAUAACGCAGCGAAAGUUGCGCUAAUACCGCAUACGAUCUAAGGAUGAAAGCAGGGGACCGCAAGGCCUUGUGCUCCUGGAGCGGCCGAUAUCUGAUUAGCUAGUUGGUGAGGUAAAGGCCUACCAAGGCAUCGAUCAGUAGCUGGUCUGAGAGGACGACCAGCCACACUGGAACUGAGACACGGUCCAGACUCCUACGGGAGGCAGCAGUGGGGAAUUUUGGACAAUGGGCGAAAGCCUGAUCCAGCAAUGCCGCGUGAGUGAAGAAGGCCUUCGGGUUGUAAAGCUCUUUUGUCAGGGAAGAAACGGUGUGGGC